This is a long non-coding RNA of Macrobrachium nipponense, 710 nucleotides long. RefSeq lists it as uncharacterized. NCBI's taxonomy places the organism in Eukaryota, Metazoa, Arthropoda, Malacostraca, Decapoda, Palaemonidae. The record is from RefSeq and is a predicted model, not a curated record. The transcript is spliced from 4 exons.
AGCUCUUCCUCUUCAUUUGCUCAAACAGCUUGCCAAAGGAACCCAGGCUAUGCUCAAUUCCUCGGUUACUGCUACAGGACCGACCUUGCGUCUUGCAGCGGCUUGGUGCUCAAAGCUGGCUGUUAUGGCUGGAGGUGCGCUCUUUGUAUUUCAGAUACGACCCAAUGCGUCCCGAGACCGGCUUGUACAUCACAUAGCGGAUCCUGCUUGAAAUCGGCAAACUGGACAACCUGCGACAAAGAGAUAGACUCCAAGUUCUGCGUCGGUACAGACUGCGCCUGCUGCAGGAACAAGGUAUGCGUCCGUGAUGCUACGUGCAAGAAUAUGGGAGGUUACUGCUUCAGGAAGAAGAGAUAUGCUUGGAAGCAACACGUCUGCAGAGGUCAAGAGGUUCCAGGAGGCUGUGGAUCCAGUAACUGUGUCUGCUGCGCUCCAGCUGUGAUGCCGGUACCAAAAAGCCUCCAAGAACUCGGUUCCUAGAUCGGCACUGCUGGAUAUGGCUGUCGGACUCCUUCCUCCUCCUACCCACAACCUGGAAGGUGGUAUACCCCAAUCUAAUUACUGUUCAAUAGACUAUUUGAAAUCCGGCAGCGACUGCUGCUGAAAUGCCAAGUAAUUAGAAAUGACUUCCAUGAUACGACUCACGAUUUGUAACCGGCUCCACAUCGAAUGUCUACAGUUGGCCUCAAUACACUUUCUGCAAGCAUGAA